AUGGCACUUGAGCAAGGAAGAUUGGCUGAGUUCCAUGGCAAGAACUUGGAUGAAAUUACAAUUAAUCCAGAUGGUAUGUUUUCAGAUUUGUAUCUCCUUUGUCUAUCUUUUUUCCAUCCUUUCUUUUGUUUGAUCACAUUUAAAAGCUGUACCGGUAUGUCUCCCACAGAAAAAGUUCUGGAUUGUGAUGAGGAAGAUGAGAAGAGAGAGGAAGAAAACUGUUCAUCUGCUGUUAAUGAGCAACCAGCAGACGAGACAAUUCCACCUACUGAAGGGAAUGAAUUCCCAUCAACAAUCAAGACACGCAAACUGCCAUCAGCAGAGGAAGUGGUAUCUUCUGAAGCCUGUGCUGUAAGACCUUCUUACAAAGGUGAAUUUUUACACAUAAUACAUUUCUCUCCAUCUCGUUCCUCUAUCUUUCUCUAUUCUAGUAACGAAUAGAUUGAGCACCUGAAAUGAAUCACAAAAGAUUUCCUCCUCCUCUUGACACCCCUCCAACUGGUAACACUCUAGGCAACAGCCUAGCCUUCUGAGAGUGUGAAUAGGUUAAACAUUGUAAUUAACAGAUGGAUGGAUAGUAAAACCCAGUAAUUACUAAUUUUGUGGAAGUUGAUGUGUGAAAAGCUAGUUACUAGUUGCAAGCCAGGCUAAAGUCAAUUAAAACUGCCCAAAACUAGAGGGUCCUUCAACUAUAGUUUAUAACUUUUUCCAGGACCUGGGCCAUCAAGCAAUCAUUAUUGAUGGACCCUGUCUUAGUAUCUUAUUAAUAGCUUUUUUUCUUUUUUGCAAGUCCUAGUCUGUGAUAAAGCCUUCAACAGCUUUAUUUCACCACCACCACACUAUGGUUUUAUGUUAACUCAGGAUUUUGAGCGCCAUUACAGGACAUGUCUCAACUAUUGUGGGCACAUGCAGUGGAGCCAGGUAGUUAUUUAGAUUCA
Molecule: long non-coding RNA, 938 nt
Filed under: Dicentrarchus labrax (European seabass)
Lineage: Eukaryota; Metazoa; Chordata; Actinopteri; Moronidae
Description: lncRNA (ENSDLAG00005027782.1)
Source: RNAcentral